CCUUAGCCCGGAUAGAAGCGGUUACCCCGGAACAUGCGUUGGAGAGUAGGAGACAUUUAGAGAUGGAGAAGCGUUGGCGUGAGGAGUAAUAGCGGAGAGCCGGAAAUAGC
This 110-nucleotide unclassified non-coding RNA is filed under the name Chryseobacterium balustinum. RNAcentral describes it as "Flavo-1 RNA". The record is from RNAcentral. Lineage: Bacteria; Pseudomonadati; Bacteroidota; Flavobacteriia; Flavobacteriales; Weeksellaceae.